CUAUGUUCGGAAUCAUAGCAGGAAAGACAAGCUUAAAACUCCUAGGCCAAAAGUGUAUUUGCAGUAACUCGAGGAAAAAACCAUUCACCUUUCGUUCCCAUAUGCAUCGGCUUUUUCUAAAUCGACAUAUCUAGCCCAAGAGAUUCCUUUCUUUCGAAGUGGCAUUGCCAAAAGUAGAAUAAAAGGCUUUCAGGGGAGCUCCCCUUAGCCCAGUAGGGAAGAUCACAACUCUUCUUUCUCCUCCAUUGAAUCUUCAAAUCUCGACUAUGGCUCCAAAGAAGAAUCACA
This 288-nucleotide long non-coding RNA is filed under the name Coffea arabica (coffee). RNAcentral describes it as "long non-coding RNA (CARA_LNC003369)". Lineage: Eukaryota; Viridiplantae; Streptophyta; Magnoliopsida; Gentianales; Rubiaceae. The record is from RNAcentral.